CAGACUUAUCCAUUAGAGGGUAGUCUACAGACUUAUCCAUUAGAGGGGUAGUCUACAGACUUAUCCAUUAGAGGGGUAGUCUACAGACUUAUCCAUUAGAGGGGUAGUCUACAGACUUAUCCAUUAGAGGGGUAGUCUACAGACUUGUCCAUUAGAGGGUAGUCUACA
Molecule: long non-coding RNA, 168 nt
Organism: Oncorhynchus keta (chum salmon)
Lineage: Eukaryota; Metazoa; Chordata; Actinopteri; Salmoniformes; Salmonidae
Exons: 4
Source: RefSeq, a predicted model, not a curated record